This 1493-nucleotide long non-coding RNA is filed under the name Chloebia gouldiae (Gouldian finch). RNAcentral describes it as "Erythrura gouldiae (Gouldian finch) lncRNA (ENSEGOG00005000901.1)". The record is from RNAcentral. Lineage: Eukaryota; Metazoa; Chordata; Aves; Passeriformes; Passeridae.
GUCAGCACCUGCUGUUUUGUUGGGACAAGAAGACAGCAGUCUGGUCAUAGGUGCUCCUCCCUCCUGCACUGAGACUGUGUCCCCAGUGCAGGUGCUUGGUGGAUCUGAGUCCCUGGCAGAGUCUCACGUGAUGGGGCCGUGAUGUUGGACAGAAGCCACAGCACUGUACAGUUCCUGCAUGAGCCUGAAUCUGCCAGCCAGGACCAUCACUCUGAGUCUGGACAAGCAACACUUUGUCAAGCCUGAUGCAACAACAAUUCUGCAACAUCUCAGAUUGGCCUGUAAAACUGAGUGCUGUGCUCAAACUAAGGAAAAAAAAAGAGCUACAAGAAAGAGCUGUUACCUGACACAGAUACUGCAUCAAAUUUUUUUUAUUUGCUUUUAUGUAGUUUGUCUUAUCUUCAAGGAAACAGAAUCAGAUUUUAACAAAAGCAGCAACAGCUGCAGACCUUUACUCUGCCCUGAAAAAAAGAGCACUGGUUACCAUACUUAGUGUCAUUUAAAAGCUUCCAGGAGUGGUCUUACUUUACAAUGCUUCCUUUUAGCCAAAGAAAAAUAAGAGUUAUCUGUGAAUACUUUGCAUUCCAAAUGUUUUAACAAACCCUUUAAGAAAUGUUGGUAAGGAUUUCUAGUAAUGACAGUUGCUUUAAAAUAUCUGCACUCAAAAUAUUGGACCAUAUGUAAUUUUUUUAUUCUACAAAGUAACAGGGUCACAUAAAUAUUUUUCAAUUCCUGAGAAUUUAUCACCCUUUAAAAAUAGUUCAUAUUGUUCAAGCUUGGAAUACCAAGGAAGCAUCUCAUCAGAGGCUGGAUCCUACUUUGUACUGGCACUGUAUCAAUGGGGCUAUUCACGUCAGUGAAACAAGAAUGUUUGGGCUCUGGUAAUGGAAUGAACAUCAAUUAUAUAUAUGAAAUUGGCUCAGUAGAAUUAUCUUCCUGCUUUAUUUCUUUUAUUAAUUCCUCAUCAUAUUUAGUAGCUUGAAGCAUUUGAAAAACAAAUGGUAAUAUACUGACCAUAAAGUCUAAAUGGGUAAUGCUUUAAUUAUCUGGUGUCAUUAAGCCAAGUCUUUGAUAACCAUGUAUGAACACCUUUGGCUCACUUCUAACAUCUGUGAACAUUUUCCAAUUACCAUAUAUUCUGAUUACUUAUCAAGGUAAUCAGCAUAUUCUAUGACCUGAUAGGCCUUGUUGCUAAUCUAAGAGCAAUGUUAUCAUAAAUUAAUACAUUCCCAUGCUAGAGAGUCCUUUCUGAUUAUGUAGCUUGUCCUCUUGCAUUUCAGAGGCCAUGCAUUGUCAGCCACUCACAUCUGUUUCAAGCCCUCCUUUUGUGGCAGUCACUAAGCCUCCACUUGCUCAUUGUUUUGCUGAAGAGCACAGGAUGAGUUACCUAAACCUCAGGCUGUGACAUAGUUCCAUUGCAGUUACUUUCACUUCACACUUGUCUCUGAUUUAAUCAAUUGAUGUAAUCAAUUUGAUUACACUGGUAACUUUUU